UAAAGAGUAACGGAGGAGCACGAAGGUUGGCUAAUCCUGGUCGGACAUCAGGAGGUUAGUGCAAUGGCAUAAGCCAGCUUGACUGCGAGCGUGACGGCGCGAGCAGGUGCGAAAGCAGGUCAUAGUGAUCCGGUGGUUCUGAAUGGAAGGGCCAUCGCUCAACGGAUAAAAGGUACUCCGGGGAUAACAGGCUGAUACCGCCCAAGAGUUCAUAUCGACGGCGGUGUUUGGCACCUCGAUGUCGGCUCAUCACAUCCUGGGGCUGAAGUAGGUCCCAAGGGUAUGGCUGUUCGCCAUUUAAAGUGGUACGCGAGCUGGGUUUAGAACGUCGUGAGACAGUUCGGUCCCUAUCUGCCGUGGGCGCUGGAGAACUGAGGGGGGCUGCUCCUAGUACGAGAGGACCGGAGUGGACGCAUCACUGGUGUUCGGGUUGUCAUGCCAAUGGCACUGCCCGGUAGCUAAAUGCGGAAGAGAUAAGUGCUGAAAGCAUCUAAGCACGAAACUUGC
RNAcentral lists this ribosomal RNA (507 nucleotides) under Escherichia coli. Its description in RNAcentral is "partial 23S ribosomal RNA". It matches the Rfam family "Bacterial large subunit ribosomal RNA", at positions 2291 to 2797 of the family's 2925-position model. Lineage: Bacteria; Pseudomonadati; Pseudomonadota; Gammaproteobacteria; Enterobacterales; Enterobacteriaceae. The record is from RNAcentral.